RNAcentral lists this ribosomal RNA (490 nucleotides) under uncultured bacterium. RNAcentral's name for it is "partial 16S ribosomal RNA". It matches the Rfam family "Bacterial small subunit ribosomal RNA", at positions 30 to 507 of the family's 1533-position model. The record is from RNAcentral.
AUCGAACGCUGGCGGCAGGCCUAACACAUGCAAGUCGAACGGUAACAGGAAGCAGCUUGCUGCUUUGCUGACGAGUGGCGGACGGGUGAGUAAUGUCUGGGAAACUGCCUGAUGGAGGGGGAUAACUACUGGAAACGGUAGCUAAUACCGCAUAACGUCGCAAGACCAAAGAGGGGGACCUUCGGGCCUCUUGCCAUCGGAUGUGCCCAGAUGGGAUUAGCUUGUUGGUGGGGUAACGGCUCACCAAGGCGACGAUCCCUAGCUGGUCUGAGAGGAUGACCAGCCACACUGGAACUGAGACACGGUCCAGACUCCUACGGGAGGCAGCAGUGGGGAAUAUUGCACAAUGGGCGCAAGCCUGAUGCAGCCAUGCCGCGUGUAUGAAGAAGGCCUUCGGGUUGUAAAGUACUUUCAGCGGGGAGGAAGGGAGUAAAGUUAAUACCUUUACUCAUUGACGUUACCCGCAGAAGAAGCACCGGCUAACUCCGUG